This is a long non-coding RNA of Protopterus annectens (West African lungfish), 677 nucleotides long. RefSeq lists it as uncharacterized. The record is from RefSeq and is a predicted model, not a curated record. The transcript is spliced from 3 exons. Lineage: Eukaryota; Metazoa; Chordata; Ceratodontiformes; Protopteridae.
AGCUACUAUACCGCUGUUGUGUCCUGCCAAGAAAAGGAAUUUGGAGCCACCACUGUAAACAGCUAAAGUAAAACUCAUUUUUCAACAAAGAUUGCAGUUAAGAAAAGUCUUUAUAUGAAAAACAGGGCUGAGUUCUACUUCAACACUAUAUAAAAAACAGUGGGAACCAGAAAUGAUGGAAAGUCCUGCAAAGUGGUAUAUUUAAUCCAGUCCCAUCGGCGAGCAAAAAUCCCAUUUUCUGUUCCUGUGACAGAGAUUUGAGUUCCCUACUCACCUCAUGGAUGGCUGGAGCUGUUUAGAGGCCUAGAGAAGCAGGAACCAGCUUAAUUUAGACACUCCCGGAAUAAAACAGCUUCAGAAUAGAUGGAAAUGCACUCAAAGUUCGUUUUUCUGGCGAUCUUUCUUCAUUUUGAAUCCAGGGAGGGAAUUUCUUUGAAAACUGCUUGGAAGGCUUCUUUAGCCUCUUUUGGAUUGUCAGCCUUGUAUUUUACAUCUCAGACUUGGAAUUGAAUUUUCCAAGUGGAAUUAGAAGCCAUUCUUUUACAAGAGGGGCUUGCCCACUCCAUUUCUUCUAUUUUCUCCAGUAAUUUAUGUUUUUUAACAAAUGCCAGUGCAGAAUCCAAGUCUUCAAAUAGUUUUGGUCCCUCAGGAAGGAAAAUCUUCAAUCUUGCAGGAAA